UCCUACGGGAGGCAGCAGUGGGGAAUUUUGGACAAUGGGCGAAAGCCUGAUCCAGCCAUGCCGCGUGCAGGAUGAAGGCCUUCGGGUUGUAAACUGCUUUUGUACGGAACGAAAAGACUCUGGUUAAUACCUGGGGUCCAUGACGGUACCGUAAGAAUAAGCACCGGCUAACUACGUGCCAGCAGCCGCGGUAAUACGUAGGGUGCAAGCGUUAAUCGGAAUUACUGGGCGUAAAGCGUGCGCAGGCGGUUAUAUAAGACAGAUGUGAAAUCCCCGGGCUUAACCUGGGAACUGCAUUUGUGACUGUAUAGCUAGAGUACGGCAGAGGGGGAUGGAAUUCCGCGCGUAGCAGUGAAAUGCGUAGAUAUGCGGAGGAACACCGAUGGCGAAGGCAAUCCCCUGGGCCUGUACUGACGCUCAUGCACGAAAGCGUGGGGAGCAAACAGGAUUAGAUACCCUGGUAGUCCACGCCCUAAACGAUGUCAACUGGUUGUUGGGUCUUCACUGACUCAGUAACGAAGCUAACGCGUGAAGUUGACCGCCUGGGGAGUACGGCCGCAAGGUUGAAACUCAAAUGAAUUGACGGA
This 587-nucleotide ribosomal RNA is filed under the name uncultured bacterium. RNAcentral describes it as "bacterial SSU rRNA". It matches the Rfam family "Bacterial small subunit ribosomal RNA", at positions 337 to 917 of the family's 1533-position model. The record is from RNAcentral.